RNAcentral lists this ribosomal RNA (496 nucleotides) under uncultured bacterium. RNAcentral's name for it is "partial 16S ribosomal RNA". It matches the Rfam family "Bacterial small subunit ribosomal RNA", at positions 28 to 506 of the family's 1533-position model. The record is from RNAcentral.
GAUGAACGCUGGCGGCGUGCCUAAUACAUGCAAGUCGAGCGAACAGACGAGGAGCUUGCUCCUUUGACGUUAGCGGCGGACGGGUGAGUAACACGUAGGUAACCUACCUAUAAGACUGGGAUAACUUCGGGAAACCGGAGCUAAUACCGGAUAAUAUUUCGAACCGCAUGGUUCGAUAGUGAAAGAUGGCUUUGCUAUCACUUAUAGAUGGACCUGCGCCGUAUUAGCUAGUUGGUAAGGUAACGGCUUACCAAGGCAACGAUACGUAGCCGACCUGAGAGGGUGAUCGGCCACACUGGAACUGAGACACGGUCCAGACUCCUACGGGAGGCAGCAGUAGGGAAUCUUCCGCAAUGGGCGAAAGCCUGACGGAGCAACGCCGCGUGAGUGAUGAAGGUCUUCGGAUCGUAAAACUCUGUUAUUAGGGAAGAACAAACGUGUAAGUAACGGUGCACGUCUUGACGGUACCUAAUCAGAAAGCCACGGCUAACUACGU